UACGUAGGUGGCAAGCGUUGUCCGGAAUUAUUGGGCGUCAAGCGCGCGCAGGCGGUCCUUUAAGUCUGAUGUGAAAGCCCACGGCUCAACCGUGGAGGGUCAUUGGAAACUGGGGGACUUGAGUACAGAAGAGAAGAGUGGAAUUCCACGUGUAGCGGUGAAAUGCGUAGAGAUGUGGAGGAACACCAGUGGCGAAGGCGACGCUUUGGUCUGUAACUGACGCUGAGGCGCGAAAGCGUGGGGAGCAAACAGG
Molecule: ribosomal RNA, 253 nt
Filed under: uncultured bacterium
Lineage: Bacteria
Description: partial 16S ribosomal RNA
Rfam family: Bacterial small subunit ribosomal RNA
Source: RNAcentral